GACGAACGCUGGCGGCGUGCUUAACACAUGCAAGUCGUACGGUAAGGCCCUUUCGGGGGUACACGAGUGGCGCACGGGUGAGUAGCACGUGAGUAACCUGCCCACAACUUUGGGAUAACGCUAGGAAACUGGUGCUAAUACUGGAUAUGUGCUCCUGCUGCAUGGUGGGGGUUGGAAAGCUCCGGCGGUUGUGGAUGGACUCGCGGCCUAUCAGCUUGUUGGUGGGGUAGUGGCCUACCAAGGCGGCGACGGGUAGCCGGCCUGAGAGGGUGACCGGCCACAUUGGGACUGAGAUACGGCCCAGACUCCUACGGGAGGCAGCAGUGGGGAAUAUUGCACAAUGGGCGCAAGCCUGAUGCAGCAACGCCGCGUGCGGGAUGACGGCCUUCGGGUUGUAAACCGCUUUCAGCAGGGACGAAGCUUUUUGUGACGGUACCUGCAGAAGAAGCACCGGCUAACUACGUG
Molecule: ribosomal RNA, 465 nt
Filed under: uncultured bacterium
Lineage: Bacteria
Description: partial 16S ribosomal RNA
Rfam family: Bacterial small subunit ribosomal RNA
Source: RNAcentral